CCCGACUGAUCUAAUUACUACAGCUUCAUAGUAAGGUGGUGUUUGGAAUGAACCACACUCUCGAUGUGCAUACAGAGAAGAUGGCUGGCUGGCUGGAUCCAGGGUUUUAAUGUUUCCAGGACAAGGGCAUGGGAACAACCAUCUCCUGGAAUGGCCCUUCCACAGGAAGAGAGGAGGAUGCAUGGCACAGAGGAAGGAUGGGGCACCUGGAUUCAAAAUCUGCUUACACCAUCCACGGAGCCUGGGAUGUUGAAGAAUUAGUUUUUUCUGUUGGAACUUGCUUUCCUUACUUGUAAAAUAAAGUUAAUCCUGCAAAC
RNAcentral lists this long non-coding RNA (317 nucleotides) under Pan troglodytes (chimpanzee). Its description in RNAcentral is "lincRNA". Lineage: Eukaryota; Metazoa; Chordata; Mammalia; Primates; Hominidae. The record is from RNAcentral.